This 778-nucleotide ribosomal RNA is filed under the name uncultured Neocallimastigales. RNAcentral describes it as "partial large subunit ribosomal RNA". It matches the Rfam family "Eukaryotic large subunit ribosomal RNA", at positions 20 to 626 of the family's 3401-position model. Lineage: Eukaryota; Fungi; Neocallimastigomycota; Neocallimastigomycetes; Neocallimastigales. The record is from RNAcentral.
UACUAGAGUAGCACUCGCAUAUCAAUAAGCGGAGGAAAAGAAACUAACAAGGAUUCCCUUAGUAACGGCGAGUGAAGCGGGAAGAGCUCAAAUUUGAAAUCUUCAAGGUUCUAACCUUGACGAAUUGUAGUUUAUAGAAGUGUUUUCUGUUAGUAGAGUUGGCUAAAAGUUCUUUGGAAUAGGACAUCAUAGAGGGUGAGAAUCCCGUAUUUGGUCAUUCUUUCUAGCUGUCGUGAUACACUUUCAACGAGUCGGAUUGUUUGGGAAUGCAGUCCAAAAUGGGUGGUAAAUUUCAUCUAAAGCUAAAUACUGGCGAGAGACCGAUAGCGAACAAGUACCGUGAGGGAAAGAUGAAAAGAACUUUGAAAAGAGAGUUAAACAGUACGUGAAAUUGUCAAAAGGGAAGCGUUUGACACCAGUGUUGUUUUCUCGAAAAUCAAUUAAAAAUGAUGGGAUUUUGUGUUGUAUUGACUUUAUCAGCUUUCUGCACUUUUUUCCUAUCUUUUUUAAUGCACUUUUCGUUUAACAAGUCAACAUCAAUUUCUUUUGUUGUAAAAGAGUCAUUGGAAGGUGGCUUUCUUUUCGGAGAAAGUGUUUAUAGCCUUUGGCCUCUGCAGUCGGAGAGAUUGAGGUCUGCAGCGUAGAUCCUUCGGGGUUAGAUACAUUUGUGCUAAGCUAUAGCCUUUCAUAGACAACUUGUUGACUAUGAUCAGUCAUGUAGCUUACUCGCUUAUGCUAUUUUACCUACGCUUAGGAUGUUGAUAGUCACAGCGUGUAC